This 106-nucleotide ribosomal RNA is filed under the name uncultured bacterium. RNAcentral describes it as "partial 16S ribosomal RNA". It matches the Rfam family "Bacterial small subunit ribosomal RNA", at positions 1379 to 1482 of the family's 1533-position model. The record is from RNAcentral.
CCUUGUACACACCGCCCGUCACACCAUGGGAGUUGGUUCUACCCGAAGGUAGUGCGCUAACCCGCAAGGGAGGCAGCUAACCACGGUAGGGUCAGCGACUGGGGUG